AAUUAGCGUUAGGGAUUGAAGUGGCAUCCUUUUGGUUUUGAUUCGAGUUUGCGAAGCAAAUAUUGAGAAUAGAAAACAAAAGAUAUAACGGAAAGCCCGCUCGAAC
RNAcentral lists this small RNA (106 nucleotides) under Tenacibaculum sp. MAR_2009_124. RNAcentral describes it as "Flavo-1 RNA". It matches the Rfam family "Flavo-1 RNA". Lineage: Bacteria; Pseudomonadati; Bacteroidota; Flavobacteriia; Flavobacteriales; Flavobacteriaceae. The record is from Rfam by way of RNAcentral.